Mus musculus (house mouse) is the source of this 284-nucleotide long non-coding RNA. RefSeq annotates it as predicted gene 28347. The transcript is spliced from 2 exons. The record is from RefSeq and is a predicted model, not a curated record. Lineage: Eukaryota; Metazoa; Chordata; Mammalia; Rodentia; Muridae.
AGAUCCCAUUAGCAGCUGUUCUUGGUCUGGUAGCUGUCUUGUAUGAAGGUAUUAGAAGACUUUUCAAGUACAUGAACAGCCCUAAAGAUGACAAUAGGGAUAUGGGAGCCCAGAAAACAUCCAAACAGCAUUCAACAAAAUCCAAAUGAAAUCUACCAUGUAAUUAAGCAAAUCUAAAGAGUGUCUUUCACGGGAACCCAAAGAAGUCCUCCACCUUCUGGGCUUUCCUAAACCAAGGUCUCCCUUUUCUAACAAAUAAAGAAAUAUCUUACCCAUUGCUUGCA